This 536-nucleotide ribosomal RNA is filed under the name uncultured bacterium. RNAcentral describes it as "bacterial SSU rRNA". It matches the Rfam family "Bacterial small subunit ribosomal RNA", at positions 974 to 1509 of the family's 1533-position model. The record is from RNAcentral.
UUAGGCCUUGACAUACUAAGAACUUUCCAGAGAUGGAUUGGUGCCUUCGGGAACUUAGAUACAGGUGCUGCAUGGCUGUCGUCAGCUCGUGUCGUGAGAUGUUGGGUUAAGUCCGCAACGAGCGCAACCCUUUUCCUUAUUUGCCAGCGGGUAAUGCCCGGGAACUUUAAGGAUACUGCCAGUGACAAACUGGAGGAAGGCGGGGACGACGUCAAGUCAUCAUGGCCCUUACGGCCAGGGCUACACACGUGCUACAAUGGUCGGUACAAAGGGUUGCUACCUCGCGAGAGGAUGCUAAUCUCAAAAAGCCGAUCGUAGUCCGGAUCGCAGUCUGCAACUCGACUGCGUGAAGUCGGAAUCGCUAGUAAUCGCGGAUCAGAAUGCCGCGGUGAAUACGUUCCCGGGCCUUGUACACACCGCCCGUCACACCAUGGGAGUUUGUUGCACCAGAAGUAGGUAGUCUAACCGCAAGGAGGACGCUUACCACGGUGUGGCCGAUGACUGGGGUGAAGUCGUAACAAGGUAAGCGUAGAUGA